This 484-nucleotide ribosomal RNA is filed under the name uncultured bacterium. RNAcentral's name for it is "partial 16S ribosomal RNA". It matches the Rfam family "Bacterial small subunit ribosomal RNA", at positions 30 to 507 of the family's 1533-position model. The record is from RNAcentral.
AUUGAACGCUGGCGGCAGGCCUAACACAUGCAAGUCGAGCGGAUGAAGGGAGCUUGCUCCUGGAUUCAGCGGCGGACGGGUGAGUAAUGCCUAGGAAUCUGCCUGGUAGUGGGGGAUAACGUCCGGAAACGGGCGCUAAUACCGCAUACGUCCUGAGGGUGAAAGUGGGGGAUCUUCGGACCUCACGCUAUCAGAUGAGCCUAGGUCGUAUUAGCUAGUUGGUGGGGUAAAGGCCUACCAAGGCGACGAUCCGUAACUGGUCUGAGAGGAUGAUCAGUCACACUGGAACUGAGACACGGUCCAGACUCCUACGGGAGGCAGCAGUGGGGAAUAUUGGACAAUGGGCGAAAGCCUGAUCCAGCAAUGCCGCGUGUGUGAAGAAGGUCUUCGGAUUGUAAAGCACUUUAAGUUGGGAGGAAGGGCAGUAAGUUAAUACCUUGCUGUUUUGACGUUACCAACAGAAUAAGCACCGGCUAACUUCGUG